UACGGGGGGGGCAAGCGUUGUUCGGAAUUACUGGGCGUAAAGGGUGCGUAGGCGGCUUUCUAAGUUGGAUGUGAAAACUAUGGGCUCAACCCAUAGCCUGCAUCCAAAACUGGAGAGCUUGGGUUCUGGAGGGGAAGGCGGAAUUCCUGGUGUAGCGGUGAAAUGCGUAGAUAUCAGGAGGAACACCGGUGGCGAAGGCGGCUUUCUGGACAGUGACUGACGCUGAGACGCGAAAGCGUGGGGAGCAAACAGG
This 253-nucleotide ribosomal RNA is filed under the name uncultured bacterium. RNAcentral's name for it is "partial 16S ribosomal RNA". It matches the Rfam family "Bacterial small subunit ribosomal RNA", at positions 524 to 776 of the family's 1533-position model. The record is from RNAcentral.